Andrographis paniculata is the source of this 196-nucleotide long non-coding RNA. RefSeq lists it as uncharacterized. The record is from RefSeq and is a predicted model, not a curated record. NCBI's taxonomy places the organism in Eukaryota, Viridiplantae, Streptophyta, Magnoliopsida, Lamiales, Acanthaceae. The transcript has 3 exons.
GGCAGUUCAAGAAUCUUAAAGUAGUAUUGAUGAAUCUGAAGACCAAGAUUCAUGCCCGUGGGUCAUUUGGUCCUGAUUUCCAACAGACGAAGUUCCAGAACUCUUUAAAAUGGUUAAGGGAUGUGGUGCGGAAGUUACAUUCGACAUAUAAAAGACGGAAUGAUGCUGCUGGUGACGUGAUACACAUAUAUGCGCG